UAUGCAGUAUUUCAAUAUAUAAUAAAUUCAAAUUUCGUUUUUCUUUUUCUGUGUACUUUUCUCAGAUUGUUCCACUGAGAUCACAAACACUUCUGGGGCUAGGAUCACCUUCGAUGUUCCUACAGAGGCUCAAUAUCUGCAGUUCACUCCCCUUUACACGAAUCACACAAGGAUAGUGUGGCAUCAAGACGACCCUCUGCUUAGUGAGGGAGGCAGAGGACAGAUGACCUCUCUCGGCUGGGAGAUAAUCAACCUCACUCCAGAAGACAGCGGCUACUACGACAUGAGGCGAAAAGACUACUAUUUAGUGUCGAGGAUAAGGCUCACAGUAGAAGGUGAUCUUGGGAACUUAGGUGCCGCUUGUGAGCUUUCAGACUGCUGUGUAUCUGAUUAAAUGUUCUUCAAAAUAACGACAACCUUUCUUCUUCUUCUCCUUCUUCUUCAUUUCUGCUCUUACAGGACCUAUUCCCACAUAUGUUUAUGCUGCUAUCGCUGGUGGGAUUGUCUUAGCGGUGAUUGUCUGCUUUUGCUGUGUGAGGAAGUGCUGUUGUAAAAAGGACUCUUCCAAACGGGACGAGUCAGCGCCUGCUGCUGUGUAUUACCAUUCGCGGGAUCAGAACCAACCUGCUGGCCCAAACUCCUCUGCUGCACCUCCUCCAGAUUACUCUUAUCAUUCAGUGAAGCCCCCUGCUUAUGAAGAAGCUGCAGCUAACUCCGUUGGGCCAUCGGCGCACAACCCAGUGAAUAUCCACAUGAACCCCCUCCAGCCUGAGGUUUCUGCUCCGGCUCCUUCACUCGGCUCUGAUUUUCUCUCCUCGGCCCCUCCACCAGAGUUGGAACUGAAAAGACGGACCUUCCCUUCUGCUCCCCCUCUCGGACCAGAAUCAACUACCAGUGACGUUUAUACCUCUGAUAAACUCAACUUUCUGUGAUGGGCACACUGAAAAAGUCAAGUGAUGCUUUGUGACUAGCAGGAACACAGCCAUGAAUCUUCGAUUGGAUCAUUUAGAUUGUAAGAAACAAGAUGUCAAUCACACUAUGUUGAGACAUGACCAAACAUAUUACAAGUCAAUGUGUGAGAUUUCCUCUUUCACUGUAACAAACUUGAAGCCCGUGAAGUAUUACAGUUUUUAAUCCGUUAACUCUUAAUAACUCAAAAUUGGUCAAAUGCUUGUGGUUAAGAGCAAAGCAGUAGAGGGCAGGACGCAUAUCAAGAUAUAAAUCAUUUCAGGUGUAUGCCUGUAGAUAAUCGACUUAUUGUGUAGUUCAUUUUUGCUUUUUUUUCUCUUUUUGAAAAAAAAAAAAGAAGCUCACUCAGUGUAGCUCUAUACAAUUAUUCUUUAGUUUCAGGCGUGUUUCAAGAGCCAUCUGCCUUAAUCAGGAGGUCAGUAUAACAUGAGUUAACCUACGUUUACACAUUAUUAUGUGGAUGAUGUUACAAUGAUGGUCUGUGUAGCAGAGCCUUGAGAUGGGGACUCAAAAUGGAGUCAGGCUGAAUCUGACACUCAUGGAGAUUACAACACUACACCUCACUAUACAAUUAUGGCACUGAUGCCAGCAUUACUUAUAUGAUUGUUUCCAUAUCCCUGACGUUUCUUUUAUUAACAUGUCUUUGUUGCAUUUAUUGAAACGUUUUAAGAAAUUAUGUGGGAGCUACCUAAGCUUGGAAACAGUUGCAUUCUGCAUGUGUGUGUGUGUGUGUGGGUGUGUGUUGCGCACGUGUGUGUGUAAUGUUGUAAUAGUAAUACUUGAUAGAAAUAUUUGUCAGCAUAAUGUGUAAGGAGUGUUGUGGCUCCUUUCUAUCCACCUGUAAAAUUGAAAUAACUAAAAUCAAAAUAUGAAUAGCUGUCUUUCAUAGUGUUACAAUAUUGUUAGAUAAAUAAACUUAAGGUGCAAUUUCUUUAUGGUGUAAAAGUUCUUGUUCUGUGUAACUGUUUAACUUCAUGUUGGUGGUUAAAGGCCUUAAAAAAGUGUUUUCAUAAUCAGCUUCUUUCAC
Molecule: long non-coding RNA, 1996 nt
Filed under: Sparus aurata (gilthead seabream)
Lineage: Eukaryota; Metazoa; Chordata; Actinopteri; Spariformes; Sparidae
Description: lncRNA (ENSSAUG00010018065.1)
Source: RNAcentral